GCAGAGGAACCCCAUCAAACUUGGAUUUUGUAAGUAGUUGCGAAUGAACACAAAUUUGAUCACUUUGGCAAUCUGUACACAUUGCUGUGUAACAAUUUGUAUACGUUGGCACAGUGCUAUCAAAGCUGCAUGCAAGUGUUUUUUGAAAGGAUACAACAUGGGAUGUGAUAUUCAUGUGUGUGUGCCUGCUUUGUCCACAGCCUGUGCUGUAUGAAUCACAUUUCUUGCAACUGAAAUGCUAAUGGCAUGGUAAAGUUCAUGUGACAUGACACAAGCUUGAGAUUCAUGAUGUGCAAGUACCAUGAGGGAAAUGUGAAAAGGACUUUGGAAAGAGAAUUAAAUAAAGCCUGCAUUUGCUGACAAUGAAAGCAAGUGUGGAUGUUCAUGUAAUUGUUACUGCAUCAAUCAAUGUUCAUCUUGGUUACUGCAUGCUUUAUAUUACAGCUCAGAACAUGAAGUGUGUGUAACAGCUCUGCUUUGAUUUUUCCCACAUGGGAUCAGUUGAAACAUUGUGAGAACACUCUUCAGUUUCCUUAUGUACCCACCAGCUUUGUCCACUCGCGUGUUGGCACACAUGUAAUGAUGAUGUGUUUAUGCAAGAUACUUCUGUGCUCAACAACAUGUUGUGUCAAUCCUCACUUGACCCGUCUUGAAACCGGAACCAGGGAUCUACUUGUUUAAAACAAUAUUUUUGAUAAAUAGGCCCCCCCUUUAUUUUUCAAGAUGGUUAUAAAGAGAAACAUUUUUUUUGGAACCGAAAAAUGAUAAAAAAAUGAGAUUUUUCCCUAGACACGUGGAUAUGGAAUCAAAGUAAAUGGGUACCAGUCUCUCC
This 832-nucleotide ribosomal RNA is filed under the name Ostreopsis ovata. Its description in RNAcentral is "partial 28S ribosomal RNA". The stretch from base 1 to 659 matches the Rfam family "Eukaryotic large subunit ribosomal RNA", at positions 50 to 664 of the family's 3401-position model. The record is from RNAcentral. Lineage: Eukaryota; Dinophyceae; Peridiniales; Ostreopsidaceae.